Long non-coding RNA from Lontra canadensis (Northern American river otter), 334 nucleotides. RefSeq lists it as uncharacterized. NCBI's taxonomy places the organism in Eukaryota, Metazoa, Chordata, Mammalia, Carnivora, Mustelidae. The transcript has 3 exons. The record is from RefSeq and is a predicted model, not a curated record.
CGGAGAGGCCGCGGGUCUCCAGAGCCCUGGCUCGGCGCUGCACUCUCCCCUUCUCUGGAGAUCCGGCGCUUGAUGUUACUACGUAUGAGAACCGGCACGGCGCGGGGUAGCCGGCUGGAACCAAGACGGGCGAGCUUCGGCGCUAGGAGGAGUGGCCCCAUGCGAGGCCAGACUGAGCGGAUGGCGGGGAGCGCAGCGGAUCCACCAGGGGAAGGCGCCGGCCGAGAGCGGCCGCCCGGGGACCCGAUCUGUUGGCCAAGGGCCUAGUACUACUUCUUGGCAUUGUGUGGAAGACUUUUCACAUGCUAACUGAGCUUUCAGACAACCCUAUGAG